This 253-nucleotide ribosomal RNA is filed under the name uncultured bacterium. Its description in RNAcentral is "partial 16S ribosomal RNA". It matches the Rfam family "Bacterial small subunit ribosomal RNA", at positions 524 to 776 of the family's 1533-position model. The record is from RNAcentral.
UACGUAGGGUUCGAGCGUUAAUCGGAAUUACUGGGCGUAAAGAGCUCGUAGGUGGUUUGUCGCGUUGUUCGUGAAAACUCACAGCUCAACUGUGGGCGUGCGGGCGAUACGGGCAGACUUGAGUACUGCAGGGGAGACUGGAAUUCCUGGUGUAGCGGUGGAAUGCGCAGAUAUCAGGAGGAACACCGGUGGCGAAGGCGGGUCUCUGGGCAGUAACUGACGCUGAGGAGCGAAAGCGUGGGGAGCGAACAGG